Molecule: ribosomal RNA, 253 nt
Filed under: uncultured bacterium
Lineage: Bacteria
Description: partial 16S ribosomal RNA
Rfam family: Bacterial small subunit ribosomal RNA
Source: RNAcentral
GACAGAGGUGCCGAGCGUUAGGCGGAAUCACUGGGCUUAAAGCGUGUGUAGGCGGAUUGGUAAGUACCUUGUGAAAUCCCACGGCUUAACCGUGGAACUGCUUGGUAUACUGCUUAUCUUGGGCCACUUAGGGGUUACCGGAACAAACGGUGGAGCGGUGAAAUGCGUAGAUAUCGUUUGGAACGCCAAUGGUGAAAACAGGUAACUGGGAGUGUGCCGACGCUGAGACACGAAAGCCAGGGGAGCGAACGGG